AGUUAUAUAGUCAAUAUAUGAUAUUGAAUUGCAAAUUCAAUGGAGAGUAAAAUUCUAUAACUU
Molecule: transfer RNA, 63 nt
Filed under: Scolytinae sp. BMNH 1274290
Lineage: Eukaryota; Metazoa; Arthropoda; Insecta; Coleoptera; Curculionidae
Description: tRNA-Cys
Source: RNAcentral